AGACUCACUCGGCUCUGAACAGUGGGCCGUCUCACCUGGUUCCGAACAGUGGGCCGUCUCUCUCCGGGGCACUGUCGCCGGAAGCUCUGGACGAGGCACUGUUGCCGGAAGUUCUGGACGAGGCACUGUUGCCGGAAGUUCUGGACGAGGCACUGUUGCCGGAAGUUCUGGACGAGGCACUGUUGCCGGAAGGCCUGGACGAGGCACUGUUGCCGGAAGGCCUGGUGCGUGGGGCUGGCUUAGGACGUGCCAGACUAAGGACACGCACCACAUGGCUAGUACGAGGAACAUGGACAGGACGUGCUGGACUGGGCUGACGCACUGAAGCCUGGUGCGUGGUGCUGGUAAUGGAGGUACCAUACUGGAGACACGCACCUUAGGGCUAGUGCGUGGAGCGGGAACAGGACGUACUGGACUGGGCUGACGCACUGGAAGCCUGAUGCGUGGUGCUGGUACUGGAUAUGCCAGCCUGGAAACACACACCUUAGGGCUAGUGCGUGGAGCGGGAACAGGACGUACUGGACUGGACUGGGCUGACGCACUGGAAGCCUAGUGCGUGGUGCUGGUACUGGAUAUGCCAGCUUUGAAACACACACCUUAGGGCUAGUGCGUGGAGCGGGAACAGGAUAUAUUGGACCGUGAAGGCGCACUGGCGGUCUCGAGCACAGUACUGGCUCCACCCUUCCUGGCUGGAUGCCCGCUUUCCCCAGACAAAUGCGGGGCGCAGGUACUGCGCACACCGGCCUGUGAAUUCUAGGCCUCAACGCCGUGCACCUCACUCCAACGCACGGGACCUGACUAAUACUAGGCUGCCCCCAAUAAGCACGGGGAUUUGGCUUGCGGCUCAAUCCUGGCCCUGCCAAACUACCUGUGUGCCCCCCCAAAAAAAAAAUAUUGGGGCUGCCUCUCCGGUUUAAUAGCCAGUCGUGUUCCCCUGUAGCGUUCCCGGUCUUCGCUCCAUUUUUUCCAUGGGCCCUCUCCGGCCAUAAUCUUUUCCCAUGUCCAUUUCUCCCGUUGGUCACACUCAAAUUCCCUUUUCUCCUCAACGUCCACCUUUUGCUCCUUCCUUCGCUGCUUGGUCCGGAUUUGGUGGGAGGUUCUGUAACGGCGGUCGUCAGGAAUGGACCAAGGCGCAGCUACAAACAAAACAAAACGAUGGACGCCGAAGACAGACUUGACGGCACAAGACAGCAAUUCAAGUGACAACCUCCCGCAAAUACAAAUACAAACACACCCUAAUAUAUAGGACUCUCAAUCAAAGGCAACUAGACAACACCUGCCUUCAAUUGAGAGUCCACACCCCAAUUAACUAAACAUAGAAACAGACUAACUAGAAGGAACAUAGUCUAACAGAGCAGUGACCAAAAAACCCCGGAAUACAUAAAUCAACUACCCUCUACAUAAUACACACACCCCGAACCACAUAAACCAAAUACCCUCUGCCACGUCCUGACCAGCCUACACUAACAAAAUAUCCCUCAUACUGGUCAGAACGUGACAUUGACUUACCCCCUAAAAUUGUAAAGGACUUAGAUAAGAUUUUUUAUAAUUGUAUUUGGAGGAACAAGCCUCACUAUCUACGAUAAGAUAUUUUCACUAAUACCCAAGAACAAGGAGUUAUUGAGGUUUUAGAUUUCAAUACUCUAAAUAAUACUUUUAAAAGAAAUUGGAUUCUGAAGUAUGUUAAGGACCAGAACUGUCACGGAAUUCUAGGACCAGUGGAGAUGCGGAAUCAGGCGCAGGAGACAGAGGCCCGGAGCAACAGUGUUUUAAUGCCACGGUAAACAAAACACAAUAGCCGAAAGGCACAGGGCGCUUAAAUAGGUCCGCCCGGGAAACACAUUCCCAAAAGAAAACACGAAGAAAAGCGCACGGGACGCAUCCCGGCAAUAACUCGUACACAGGCCAGCGAAACAGGCCAAACACACAACUGUCCUGAGUGGACAAUAAACAAUACCGCACGAGAACCCAAACUGAAAAUACACACUAAAUAACCCCCCACUAAUGACAGACAGGUGCGGGAUAGACAGACAAAACCAAAAGACACAGAAACAUAGAUCGGUGAGAGCUAAUAGGCCGGGGACGACGACCGCCGAGCGCCGCCCGACGUAGGAGGGGCGCCACCUUCGUUGGAUACUGUGACAAGAACAGUAUUUGGAAUGUCUUCCCUAAGUAUUUAUUUGACUCUGUUGUUGGUUUAGAUUCCAAUAACCCCGAAAGAAUAUGCAAUUGUUUUUGAUGCGAUUCCAAGGGGGGGGGGGUUGUCUCUUAAAUUCCUCUGUGGUUGAUGUAAAUAACAUAGAUUUACAUAAAUAUAUUCAUUGGCAAUAUUAACAUCAAAGAUAAAUGAUGUAAGAAACAGAUCAGGAAUAUUGUUUGUGAUACUACAAUUCCCUCAGCAAGAUUCUUUUGGGCAGAUAUCUAUGGUAAUAUACAAUGGCGGAAAGCAUGGAAAAUUGCUAACAAAUAUUGUAUCAGUAACAAAGUAAAGGAAGUUUCAUUUAAAAUGUUACAUAGAAUUUAUCCUGUGAAAUAUGUUUGGGAAAGAGUCAAGCUGUCACGACCUCGUAUGAAUAAUUAGACCAAGGCACAGUGUGAGUAGAGUUCCACAUUUUAAUAAUAGUGAAACUUCCAAAAACAACAAAGCUAUGACGAUCAUGAAACACGUAGCGCACAUAGGCACUCACACAAAACUAUAUCCCACAUCGCAUGUGGGAAAAAGGACACACUAAGUAUGAUCCCCAAUUAGAGGUAACGAUUAUCAGCUGCCUCCAAUUGGGAACCAUACACACACACCAACAUAAAUAUAUAAUACCUAGAAAUCCCCCUAGUCACGCCCUGACCUAAAACACCAUAGAGAACCCCGAGGGCUCUCUAUGGUCAGGGCGUGACAAGCUGAAUAUAACUGAUUUCUGUGGAAUGGAGAAGGAGACCAUUUUGCAUUUGUUUUUUACCUGUAUUUAUAGCAGAAUGUUUUGGAUUGGCAUACAGCAUUUUGUUACAAAAAAAUAGGACCGGUUGUACUAUUUACUGGUUUUGAUAUAAUGCUUUAUUUCAGAAAUUCUGACAUAAAUAUGUAGUAUAUUUAAUUCAACUGCUAAUAAUACUAGGUAAAUUUCAUAUUCACAAAUGGUCUAAUUCAAAACCUAACUUUUUAACUUUAUAAAUGAGUUUAAACAAUAUGGCAGCACUCUGACUAGAAUGCUUCCCUGUAGCUCAGUUGGUAGAGCAUGGUGUUUGCAACACCAGGGUUGUGGGUUCGAUUCCCACGGGGGGCCAGCACAGGAAAAAAAAAAAUAAAUGUAUGAAAUUGUAUGAAAUGUAUGCAUUCACUACUGUAAGUCGCUCUGGAUAAGAGCGUCUGCUAAAUGACUAAAAUGUAAAAUGUAAAUGUAAAAACAAAAAGGCAAUUAAAACUUGUAUUAUUAAUGAAUAUGAUUGGUUUGUUUAGGAUUCCGGGCAAUGUAAAUAGUUUGUUAGUAUGCUUGUUUGCAUGUGACUAUUCCUCUUUUGUUUCAUGAUAUUUGUUAAUAAAAAAUAAAAAUAAAAAGCCCUGUAAAAGUUGAAGUCAUAUUGAACAACUACCAGAGAGAACCUUCUCUACAUAGGAAUUGCAUACCAUAUUUUUUCCAUACAUCAAAAUAAUACUUUAUUGUCAAUCAGCAAUUACUUACUUAGAUAAGGCCUCAACAAGGCCCCAGUUAAUGGUUGAAAAUAACUUAUGUCAGUGCCAAUGAGUUACACUGAGUGUAUAAAACAUUAAGAACACCUGCUCUUUCCAAGACAUAUGCUGACCAGAUGAAUCCAGGUUAACGCUAUAAUCCCUUAUGGAUGUCACUAGUUAAAUCCACUUAAAUAAGUAUAGAUAAAGAGGAGGAGAAAGCUUUAAAAAAAUAUUGUAAGGCUUGAGAUAAUUGAGACAUGGAUUGUGAAUGUGUGCCAUUCAGAGGGUGAAUGGGCAAGACAAAAUAUUUACAUGCCGUUCAACGGGGCAUGGUAGUAGGUGCCAGGGGUACCAGUUUGUGUCAAGAACUGCAACGCUGCUGUUUUUUUUACGCUUCAAAGUCUCCCUCCCGUGUGUAUCAAGAAUGGUCCACCACUCAAAAGACAAUUUGACACAACUGUGGGACUGUCCUCAUAUACACAUUAUGACAUAAUAAAGAGCUUCAUCUUUCAUGAAAUAAAGACAUAGAAGCAUACCCAAUUAUACAGGUUCUACACAUUCCAUUUCUCCAUGGCAAUAGAAUGUAAACAUUCUAUUUUGCACCAAACAUCGCCUACAACUCAAUUCUAAGUGCAGCAUAUUGGACGACAACACAGUCAUUGAUCAUUUGCAACUUUAAGUCAUUUCUGUUAUCUCUAGAGCAUCCCGUAUAUCUAUAGCGCUGCAUUUCUUCCCCAUCUUUCCAUGGAUAGGGUUUGGUGCAUUCCGGAGUUCACUUAUGGUCCCACAAAGGUAAUCUUAGGAGAAAUAAAUUUUAGCGUAGUGUAAAUGCCUGUGCAUAAUGUGCAUAAAAAAGCAUAAUUAUUUUCAUUAUCUUCAAAGGAAUUCUGUAGAAGCAGCCUUUAUUUUCAGACUCUGCAGGCCUGCUGGGAGGAAACAUAUUACAAUAAACAGAAGAAGGUCAUGGUCCAUUAUCUGCUGCUCCAGAGUCAAGGCCAGGUCCCGCCCCAUGUCACCACGGAGCACAUGAGCAACUGGCUGGUGUCUCAGGGCAAAAAAUCCCUUAGGGAGAGGGUGUGGAAGGAAACCCUGGAGGAGGGAAACGACCUCGCUCGGCUGGCCUGGGAAGUAAACACUUGCCUAAAAAUGAUGGACAUAGAGCACGAGGCUUUCUGCAAGCUCCGCCGCUCCAUGCAUUCCACCUCGCCAGCUGACAUCGAUCCUAAAGUCCACAGCAUCGUGGAGAGAGCUGUGAGGAGCAUUCUGGGCGUGCAGUCCAAUGAGCCCCGUAGCAACCUGCUCAGCCCAUCUCAGGUGGUGGUGGAGGUGGUGCCCAGGCUCCUCCUGGCCCUGUGGCUUCAACCAGAGGAAGGCCAUUCAGAGCACCCAAUCCUAAUAAGCGGGAUGGCCGUGGGCAUGGUGGCGGCCGUAGUGGAGAAGCUCUCCUGCAUGUUAAAGGACCCUUCCCCACACAUCCCUUUCUCUCGGGCUGCUGCUUUUGACUCUGUGCGGUCGAUCCUCGGGAGAAUCAGUCAGUCCUUCUCCACCGAUGACCUCCAGAGCCCUUUUUAUAUGAGCUCUGUCUGUGCCUUUGUGGCGAACGAGGUUCAGAGCCGCUUCCAGCCCCCUGCAUCCACCCUACCAGUCCCCCCUGUCCUCCCGGGGGCUUUCUCCACUACACGACCAGCUGACAUCCAAGCAGACCCAGCGUCUUCCCACCUGAAUGUUGUGGACAUCACCACUAACACAGAGGCAGAUCCGGCUUCUUUCCACCUGGAGAUUGUGAAAGUCACCCCUAACACAGAGGCAGACCCGGCUUGUUCCCACCUGGAGGUUGUGGACAUCACCCCAAAAACAGACGCAGACCCGGCUUGUUCCCACCUGGAGGUUGUGGACAUCACCCCAAAAACAGAGGCAGACCCGGGUUGUUCCCACCUGGAAGUUCAAGACAUCACCCCAAAAACAGAGGCAGACCCGGCAUCUUCCCACCUGGAGGUUGUGAACAUCACCCCUAACACAGAGGAAGACCCGGCUUCUCUCCACCUGAAUGUUGUGGACAUAACCCUUAAUACAGAGGCAGAUCCGGCUUCUCUCCACCUGAAUGUUGUGGACAUAACCCUUAAUACAGAGGCAGAUCCGGCUUCUUCCCACCUGAAUGUUGUGGACAUAACCCUUAAUACAGAGGCAGAUCCGGGUUCUUCCCACCUGGAGGUUCAAGACAUCACCCCAAAAACAGAGGCAGGCCCGGCUUCUUCCCACCUGGAGGUUGUGGACAUCACCCCUAACACAGAGGCAGAUCCGGCUUCUCUCCACCUGAAUGUUGUGGACAUAACCCUUAAUACAGAAGCAGAUCCGGCUUCUCUCCACCUGAAUGUUGUGGACAUAACCCUUAAUACAGAGGCAGAUCCGGCUUCUUCCCACCUCAAUGUUGUGGACAUAACCCCUAACACAGAGGCAGAGCCGGCUUCUUUCCACCUGAAUGUUGUGGACAUAACCCCUAACACAGAGGCAGAGCCGGCUUCUUUCCACCUGAAUAAUGUGGACAUAACCCCUAACACAGAGGCAGAGCCGGCUUCUUUCCACCUAAAUAUUGUGGACAUCACCCCUAAUACAGAGGCAGAGCCCAUCUCUUCCCUCUUGGAGGUUGUGGACGUCACACCUGAAGAAAGGACUCUCACGAUGGCCGUCUUCACCACUCUGCCAGCUGACAUCCAAGCAGAGGAUGUUGCUGUGGUCAUCCCGGAUGUCACCCCACACGUAACCAAGGACGUGACACUGGAUGUUCCAUGUAGAGCUAGGAAAGGGGCAGUCCGGCGAUUAUUUUGCAGGCUUUGGAGGGCAGUGUGCUGCUGCGCCUGCUACAAGGAAGAGGAGGAACAAUAUUAAUUAUUCAUCAGACAUUCAGAAGUGGGAUUGAACCAUAGACCAUUAAAUUAUUCGCAUUAUAAUUGGACUCAAUUCUGCUUUUCUUCUGUUUACUACUUAAUUUCAGAACUUUUCUAUAAACUUUCACUAUGCAAGUGUGGAGUAGGUUUUAUAAAUAAGUGGGAAACAUCCCAAUUUUAAUGCUUUUAAUAAUUUACUUUGUACAUUUAAAAAAAAAAUUGACAACAAAAAAACGCAGGGCGCUCAACCAACGUUGAGUUUCGGUGCAACCAAAAAUUUGAAUCAUCAUUGAAAAGGAAAAAGCACUACUCUUGCUCACUAUAAAAAAAUGCAUUGUUUUAUUCAGGCAAGGUUAAAAGAUUAACGUUUCGGCCUAGUCUAUGACGAUAUCGAAGUUGUGUUUGCCCAGUAAAAGGGUUACCCAGACUCACCCUGGUUCUUGAGGUUGAAGACAGUGAAAAAUGAUCAUUAAGUAAAUGGGACUUUUUAAUUCUUGAAUAAAAAUCUUUAAUGAACAUGAAUUUAAAUACAAUUGACUUGAGGUUCAGAGCAGGCAGGCUGACUGGCUAGCCCUGAAGGCCCUCUGCCUCUACCUCUGUGUGGUUCAUCUCAACCAAGAGGUUGUGUGGGUUGUCUUUCUCUCUGGGGGUGUGAAUCACUAUGACCUCUCCAUCUGCCUGCCAUUUGGCUGAUCAGAAGCCUUCUGCUCUUUCUUGCUCACAUGAACAGGAGGAAUGGCCUCUGGGGUAACCUCCUCCUCUAUCUAACGCCUCUUCCACCUCCUCUUUCUGACUGUGUUCAACUGAGGUCACUCGUUCUCUCUCUCUGGGUGUUGGAUAGUUCCUCCUCCUCUGUGUCUUUGUGAACGGAACGGCGUCAGACUGAUAGAAACUUCACUGUGAAGGAGUGCCAGCCAGUCCUCAGAGAGAGCCCGGAGAGGACAGGGGUAAAUAUGAAAACAGCUGAGGGCUCAGAGACUCAAUCAUCUCAUGAUGAAGUGGACACUGAUUCAUUGGGGUCACCCAUGACCUUGCCCCGCCGUUCACACCGGCAGAGGAGGCCCAGAGACAUUCUAACCUAUAACACUUUAGGGCUGCCAAGCUCUUAUCAGGAUACCAACUAGAGAUGUUCUGAUGUGUAUAUAUUUUCUUGUUUACCUUUACUAAUCACAGUGUGAUAAUGUUUAGUGGGGGUUGCGUUUUUGCCCAUAAGGCAGACUGGACAUGUCUAGAUAGUUAUAUGGCUGUUAGGCCAGUUUCUCCGUUGUUCUCAUGACCAGUACUUACAUCUUCUGUUUGUUUUAAGGCCAGUGAAAUGUUUGGGACAACAUUUCGUUUUUGCAGGGGGGGUGUUGUAAGGGGCUUAAUACAGUUGUAUUCCAGCCACUAGGGGGUACUCUGGUGAAGCCCAUGGGAAAUAAAGAAAUAUAGUUUAAGUGAUUUGGGAAGAGUAAGAAUGAUAAACUAAAGAAAGACUGUAAACGGCUGUUACCUGAUUAAAAGUGAAGUAAACCGUACUUUUCGUGUUGAAAGUUAAUAUGAUAAGCUCAUUGGAAGGCUAACAUUAACAGAUACAUGUCCUGCCUUUCCAACUGAUGUAAAGUUCCAACACAAAUUUUCAUUUGAAAAAGCAAUAGACUUUCACAUUGUAGGCCUGUUGUUUAAACAAUGUAAUCAUAAUA
This 8231-nucleotide long non-coding RNA is filed under the name Salmo salar (Atlantic salmon). RNAcentral's name for it is "lncRNA (ENSSSAG00000116339.1)". The stretch from base 3325 to 3378 matches the Rfam family "UnaL2 LINE 3' element". The record is from RNAcentral. Lineage: Eukaryota; Metazoa; Chordata; Actinopteri; Salmoniformes; Salmonidae.